This 2127-nucleotide long non-coding RNA is filed under the name Canis lupus familiaris (dog). RNAcentral describes it as "lncRNA (ENSCAFG00030025031.1)". The record is from RNAcentral. Lineage: Eukaryota; Metazoa; Chordata; Mammalia; Carnivora; Canidae.
GACAGUGGAUGGUACGUAAUGCUCUUCCUGUUUCCCUCUCUUUCCCCUACUGGCCUCUUUCUAAAUUCCUUUAGUAGAGGUGGUAAACUACAAAUGCAUGGUAUUGUGUUUUUUUAUUAGUUGAAAUAGUGUUUUUUCUAUUUUUUCCUUUCAGUUUAUAUAAGAGGUAAUUCUGCUGCUGCUGCUGCUGCUGCUGGUGGUCGGCUUCAAGCUUUGCUCAUAUGCAGCUGGUGGCAAAGAAAGACAGAAGAAAUGACUUAAAGCACAAAGAAAGCAUAAUUAGGUUAACAAGAGGCCCAGGGAAAAAAGCUUUUCAGGAACUAGUUAUGGAAAGAGUUACUAUUAAAGAAACAAGUGAUGAUCGGGAUGCCACCGGGACCACUGAAUUGCUUUCUAAAGAUUAAAUCAAAUUGCAAGUAAAAAAGAGAAUACUCCAUAUAAUACAUGAAGAAAUUCAUCAUUUGGAAGCAGAAUCCCUGCUAGACCUUUUUGGUCCUUCGAUUCCUCAGGUAUGCAAUGGAUCUACACAUGCAAAGACAUUUUCUCAAUAUAUAGAGUGCUGCUUAUGAGCUAUUUAGCUACUUCUCAUAUAGAGUCUGUUCAUAGCAUCUUAUCUAUAGCUCAUAACAUAGGCCUUAGAGAAUUGAAUUGCUGUUAUGAGAGAAAGCAUCUUAUCUCGGCUUAAGUAUCAACCCAGUUCAUGAAGAGCAUCUGGGAGAGAAUGGAGGAAAUUAUUUUAAUUUCUUCAUUCCCGGCCUAGUAAAGAGCCAUACAAGGGGAAUGGGCUAUUUAUGAGUAAUACAGAAGUAAAAAGAUAAAAUCUUUUUUAAGAUUUUAUUUAUUUAUUCAUGAGACACACACACACACACAGAGACAGAGACACAGGCAGAGGGAGAAGCAGGCUCCAUGCAGGGAGCCCGACGUGGGACUUGAUCCCAGGUCUCCAGGAUCAGGCCCUGGCCUGAAGGCAGGCGCUAAACCACUGAGCCACCUGGGCUGUUCAGAAGCAAAAUACAGGUUCUUGAGUCAGACAGACUUAGCCAUGAUGAAUGACUUUAGAGAAAUCUCUAAAAUUAUCUGAGCUUCUCAGGUCUUCAUCUAUAAAAUAUAGACAAUGUUAGUGUACAACUUACAGGAUUCUGUGAACAUCACUUUCUCUUAUUUGCUUGGUUCUUAUAAUAUUUUCCUCCAAAUAAGUUGCCAUAUUCACAUCAGAAUGUUUUAGGUUGAGUUCCCAGAGAAAGACUCUGAGAUGUAUUUCUGAGCAGGAACUUGACUGACGCAUGCUUUCUCACUCAGAACAACACCUGAAGACAGGAAUAGGCAGAGGGAAAAGCUGACCUGUGAUGCAAUUGCAUUAAAGGUCUCAAGUGACCUCAUAGGCAGAUCUGGAACAGGGGUGGCCAUUCUGUGGAACAUUCUGAAUUGUUCCAAAUUGAAGCAGGGCCAGGACCUUGCACCCCUGCCCUGAGCAGGCAUUGGAUAAGGGCUGCCCUAGGGAGGGAACAUGAACUUGGAUUAGGAGGCUCCCCUUGACUGAAGGUAGUUCCCAGAGGACUUAGUUUUGAGGUGUCAGCAUCCAAGACUCCUGGAGCUGAUGAAAAACCAUUGCCUCAGUCAUGAAGGGAAAAUUUGAAUUUUCUAUUCUUCACACAUAUGUUGCUUAGAACCUUUUGCUUCUUUUUUUUUUUUUUUUUUUAGAACCUUUUGCUUCUUAAAGUAAAUUUACCCCUUUUAUGAAUAGAUCCUCCAGGAUUGUGAUUUUUUAAAUCAUUUCCUGGGAAACUUACAAGACAAAAGUUAGUGAGAAGAAACUGUACCCCCUACCACUAUUGCUGAUCUCAGGGAUGCAACUGAUACUCAUCAUCUCCCUCUUCUACUAUCCCUGAGAAGUCUAAGCUCUGGGUCAUCAUGCUUUUCUAGGGAUGUAGCUACUGCUGCUUUUGUCCAUUUACCAUCAAAAUUUUUCCAGUAAGUACCAAGAGACAGUCAAGUGCCAACUGUAUUCUUAUUUCCAUGUGUAAGAACAGCUACUUCCCAGUGAUGGGCAGGGCCAUUUACCCCUGUCAGUGUGGUGAGCCCUUUCUUUGGCUCUCAUAGCUUUGUGUAUGAAUCCUGGAAUGGUUG